ACUCACUAUCAGACGAAUUUGCGAAUAUAAGGACAUUCAAUGAGUUGAAGGCACCUUUUCCUCUUCGCGACAUACAUAAACGAACAAUGAUGGAGGGGAAACUUAUGUUAGCGGCGUCUUUGGCGUUGUUAGCUUUAGGAUGCGGCGUUGAAGCUCAGCAGUACCACAAUUACAGUCCACGAGGUUACUAUGGACGUAGCUCACGUAGUGUGCAAAUAGAGUGUGUUGGUA
Long non-coding RNA from Melitaea cinxia (Glanville fritillary), 231 nucleotides. RefSeq lists it as uncharacterized. The record is from RefSeq and is a predicted model, not a curated record. NCBI's taxonomy places the organism in Eukaryota, Metazoa, Arthropoda, Insecta, Lepidoptera, Nymphalidae. The transcript is spliced from 3 exons.